Homarus americanus (American lobster) is the source of this 1034-nucleotide long non-coding RNA. RefSeq lists it as uncharacterized. NCBI's taxonomy places the organism in Eukaryota, Metazoa, Arthropoda, Malacostraca, Decapoda, Nephropidae. The record is from RefSeq and is a predicted model, not a curated record. The transcript has 4 exons.
AUCUCACGUAGCAAGGAUAUUGCAUAUGACACAAGGCAAGAGUUAGUAAGACUUCAGCCACUAGCACGGCAACACCACCUCUGUUUUACCUCCUAAUUACAGGGGAAGCUUCUGUUCUUGUGUGAGGAAGGUGACGCAACAAGGUCUGACAACAUGGUGAAAGGAUAUAUGAUGGGUGAUACCUUCGUAACUGAAACAGUGCCCAACUAUCUACUAGCAGGGGCAAUAUUCUACUUGAUGAUUGGAGGAAUUAACGUUGGUAUAAACUCUUAUGAUAUAUCAUUCGCCGUCCCUGGUAUAAUCUGUUUAAUAUAUGGAGCCGCCUUCCUCGUAACAGCAUUGGUCGUGCACUGUAAAAUAAACUCCACCGACCCGUCGCCACAGCCUCCAGUCGCGAUUAGCAGAGCCACCGAGUACCCUCCACAACACCUCAGCCAAGAACACUACCCACAACAUUACCCUCCACAACACCUCAGCCAAGAACACUACCCACAACAUUACCCUCCACAACACCUCAGCCAAGAACACUACCCACAACCACCACCAGCGUACAGUUAAUAGUUGUGAAAAACGACUAGUGAAAUGGGUUCCUAGUCCUAGUCCAAAUCGCUGCCGUAUUCUUAAGACCCAAAAUCCAUCACUGGUACAAGACUCUAACAAUGUAUUAGUUCACUCGUUGGGGCCUAUUAUGACUGGGCUUACUAGGUAUUUGGGCCUAUUAGAACUAGAACUUACUAGGACUCUAUAAUUACAAAACACCCAGUAAUGGAAAGGGGAUACUUGUCAAUUUCCAUUUUUUGGUUUAUGUUCAAUUUCUAUAUUAACGUGUAUUAGUUGUCCUCUGUCACGUUUCUAACAAUCAAAUCUAAUUGUCUCACAUGGAAAUUAUCGACAACUCUAUAAUCUCUGACGUCGAUAUAAUUACGUGUUGGUUAAGUGGUAAUUAGCAAUAAUCGUCAUAAUGUAACCUGGAAGUAAAGAUCGUGAUCGUGUGACUAGAGAUUAUGUAUUAAAACAGAUAUCUUUAUAAUUGC